AAUUUGUUUGCAAAUGCUUCUGCAAAAAAUUGAUGCAGCCGUGAAAGCCAGCUUUAUUGAAAUCGCCUGAGUUACCAAGUGUUUUUCAGAAGGUACAUUUUUAAAGCAGUGUAUGCUGAAGAUAUGUGAGCAAGUGUGCCCUGACCAGAAAGGCGUUUAAAAAUGUUAGCUUGUCAAGAAACACUAUGCAGACCAACUAUGUGUUCAUACAGAAACAAGUCUUUUAUUUUUUUUAAUAAACUGUACAAUAGUUGUACAUUUGAAUACACUUUAUUUUACUGGUCUUUUACUGUCAAAACUGGGUAUUAAUUGAGUUAUUACCAAAAUGAGUAAUUAAAUGCAGAUGUAAUUAUGCAGUGUGAGAGAUACAUUUAUAUAGUCUUACAGUUACAACCGGCCCUUUGAGAGCAACCAUAAUACUGAUGUGGCCCAGGAUGAAAUCGAGUUUGACACCCCUGGUUUAGAUGGUUAAAAUAGGGCACUUGGAGAAUCUAUGGCAAGGUUCAUUUUAGCCAUUCAACACCUUACUAACACACUAUGUUGUGUUUUCCUUUCACUAAUCACCUGUCUUUUGGAUCCAGUACCUUUAACAACAUCAAUCUUACAAGAAAUAUUCACUCCAACACACAGACAGCAGCUGUGGAGAGGAAACGUGCACGCUCUGUAGGAGACCCUCCACAGACCUCUAAAAGGGACUCUUUAGGACAUAGCAAGCCGAGGGCAAGGAGGGCGACGCCAAGCUUCAGCUACAGUCACACACACCCCAGUUGAAUGCUCCCUAUCAUCCAGUGUGGAGGUUCCACUUACUGUGCCCUCAGCAGAGCUAAAUCCUCAAGAGCAAUUUGAAAAAAUAUGGAGAGGCUCUCUGAUAUUUUGACAUCUUAUCCUGCUGCUGAGCCUCAGAAAAGCUCUGCAUCAUCAUGGUCUUUGCGGCAGCAGAAAGCCUCAGAGCGCUAGACCAUACCACCUAAAAUGCCUUAUUGCAAAAGAGGCUGAUGGUCAGCCGUUGUGUUUUCUUUACUAUGAGCCUGCUGUUAUUAGGUGCAGAGAGUGUCUUCCUGAGGAGUGGUUCUGUGGGGACUGUGAUGUAUUGCGACACAAAAAACAGCCACUCCACAACAGGGAACGUGUGAUUCAUGGGUUUUUUGAAGCAAACCCUCCAACCUCAUGCGUCAUUAAAGGGCAAGAUGGAUAUUGCAUCCGUGAGAAAGCAUGCAUUUCGCCAACAGUGAAGGUGCCAUACUGCUCCUGUGAAGGCACAAACUUCACCACCUACUUUGGUUUAUGGAGUGUCCAACUUCAAGUUUAUGUACACAAAAACACUUUCAUUUUCUAAUAAUAGGCCGUUAUAU
Molecule: long non-coding RNA, 1352 nt
Organism: Triplophysa rosa
Lineage: Eukaryota; Metazoa; Chordata; Actinopteri; Cypriniformes; Nemacheilidae
Exons: 5
Source: RefSeq, a predicted model, not a curated record